GACGAACGCUGGCGGCGUGCUUAACACAUGCAAGUCGAACGGAAAGGCCCUGCUUUUGUGGGGUGCUCGAGUGGCGAACGGGUGAGUAACACGUGAGUAACCUGCCCUUGACUUUGGGAUAACUUCAGGAAACUGGGGCUAAUACCGGAUAGGAGCUCCUGCUGCAUGGUGGGGGUUGGAAAGUUUCGGCGGUUGGGGAUGGACUCGCGGCUUAUCAGCUUGUUGGUGGGGUAGUGGCUUACCAAGGCUUUGACGGGUAGCCGGCCUGAGAGGGUGACCGGCCACAUUGGGACUGAGAUACGGCCCAGCCUCCUACGGGAGGCAGCAGUGUGGAAUAUUGCACAAUGGGCGGCAGCCUGAUGCAACAACGCCGCGUGCGGUAUGACGGCCUUCGGGUUGUAAACCGCUUUCGCCUGUGACGAAGCGUGAGUGACGGUAAUGGGUAAAGAAGCACCGGCUAACUACGUG
RNAcentral lists this ribosomal RNA (468 nucleotides) under uncultured bacterium. Its description in RNAcentral is "partial 16S ribosomal RNA". It matches the Rfam family "Bacterial small subunit ribosomal RNA", at positions 28 to 507 of the family's 1533-position model. The record is from RNAcentral.